GUNGUAACAAGGUUUCCGUAGGUGAACCUGCGGAAGGAUCAUUG
RNAcentral lists this ribosomal RNA (44 nucleotides) under Carex x kneuckeri. RNAcentral describes it as "partial 18S ribosomal RNA". It matches the Rfam family "Eukaryotic small subunit ribosomal RNA", at positions 1788 to 1831 of the family's 1831-position model. Lineage: Eukaryota; Viridiplantae; Streptophyta; Magnoliopsida; Poales; Cyperaceae. The record is from RNAcentral.